CGCCCUUCGUGUGUUUUUAUGAGGGGUUGGACCUGCCCGGUGAUUAGUCAAGUUUUGAAGUUAUAAAUAUAAUUAGAAAUUUUUUUAAACGGCUGCAAUUGAUAAUUGUGCUAAGGUAGCGUAAUCAUUUGCCCCUUAAUUAGGGGAAGGUAUGAAUGGUUUGACGUGGAAAAAGCUGUCUCUUUUAUAUAAAAAGAAGUUUAUUUUUGAGUGAAAAAGCUUAAAUAUUUAUAAAAGACGAGAAGACCCUAUCGAACUUGAAUUAUUUAUUUAAAUUUUUAAAUACAAAAAGUUUAGUUGGGGAAACUUAAAGUUAAAAAAAACGCUUUUUUGUUAUAAAAUGAUCCUGUAUUAUGGAAAAAUGAAAAAGUUACCGUAGGGAUAACAGCGCUUUCUUCUCUGAGAGGACUAAUUAAAGAGUUGGUUGCGACCUCGAUGUUGGAUUAAGGUUUCUUUUUGGGGUAGGGGUUAAAAUAGUAAAACUGUUCGUUUUUUAAAACCUU
Molecule: ribosomal RNA, 503 nt
Filed under: Euglesa viridaria
Lineage: Eukaryota; Metazoa; Mollusca; Bivalvia; Venerida; Sphaeriidae
Description: partial 16S large subunit ribosomal RNA
Rfam family: Bacterial large subunit ribosomal RNA
Source: RNAcentral